Molecule: long non-coding RNA, 1528 nt
Filed under: Marmota monax (woodchuck)
Lineage: Eukaryota; Metazoa; Chordata; Mammalia; Rodentia; Sciuridae
Source: RNAcentral
UGGGAUCCAGCAUUCACUGCCUGAUGUUUGGUCUUAAACACCAGCUUCCUGUAUUAAAUUUUGGGUGGGAGUUGUUUCAGGUGGAAGGUCAUUCUGGUCCUGUUAAUACAACUUGGCUUUAUUGUUUUAUUUUAAAAAAUCAAAAUAAAAGCAGCACUUUCUUUCUUAAAAGUGCGUGCACCCAGCACAUAGUACGUCCACAUUUCUUUUCUGAGCAUCUCUUUUCCUUCCCAUAGGGGGUCUUUCUUCUGACUCACAUUCUAGUUCAUGGAUUCUCUUCAUCUGGGCCUCAACUGUUGUUAAAACCAUUCAGUGGUUUCUGAAUUUUGGGUUUUGGGCUUUUCAUUUCUAUAAUUUCUAUGAUGAUUCUUUUCACAUUCUCCUUGGUCAAAUUUACAGCUUCCAGUCAAUGCAAACAGUCGACAAGCCUUUGACCCCCUUGAGCCUACCCAUAGUCAGCAUCCUUCUUUCAUGUUUUCUGGCUGGUGAUCCAGGCAUUGGGAUUUCUUGUGUCUGUUUUCCUGCUGGUUCUCUGUCAUGGUGCACAUCUCGUGCUUCUUUCUGGCCAUCUUUGCUUGUGUGCUGGAAAAGAGGUCAGGUUUCACUUGUAGAAACAAGUGAAACAUCCUUAGCCUCAUGGACAAUGUUCUCAUUGCCCUAAGAGGAGCUCACUGGGCUUUUUUCCAGGUGCAUGGGCACACCAGCCACUUGGAGUUACCUUUGGUUGCCUUCAGGGCUUGAGAACUUGAGAUUUUCCAGGUUCAAGGUUUGAGUACCCAGUUGAUUCAGAGUUGGGCUGUGGCCAUUAAAGGACUGAUUUACCUAGGAUUCACCCUUAUUUAUGGGGAGCAUCCCUUUUUAUUUCAGCCGGAAGCAGGUGUCGUUGACCACAGUUCACCCCUUGCUGGGUCCUGACUCCUAUUUUGUUUCAGUAGCCUCAAAAGGACAGACCCCUUUGCCGCCGUUUCUGCAAGGGCAGCACCCACUCAGAUGGGGCGGGUCAUUGUCUCCUUGCUCCCCAGAUCUCACUGUUCUGGUGAGUCCUUACCGCAUUAUAAGUGUCUCCUGCUUCUGGAGAUGGCUUUAUGUUUUGUCAUUGUUUUGGUCUGGAUAUGAAGUGACCCCAAGGAAGGCUUGUUCUCCUGCUGGUGGCACUCUUCUGAAGUGGUAGGAACUUUAGGGGACAUGUGACCUUGAAGGCACUAGCUUGCCCUUGGCCCUUUCCUUUCUCUUUCUUUGCUUCCUAGCUAUCAUGAUGUGAGCAACUCUGCUCCACCAUGUGUCCCCUGCCAUGAUGCUUCCUUGACAAAGAUUCGAAGCCACAGGACCAAGUGACCGUAGAUUGAAAUCUCUGAAACCAUGAUCCAAAAGGAAUCUUUCCUUUUUAAAGUUGAUUUUCUCAGGUAGUCUGUCACAGUGAUGGAAAGUGGAUUAACACACCACUGCAAUUAGAUAUCGAAGCUCCAUAUCUAUCAGGAUUUAAUUCUGGGUUUCAUUCCUAUAAUAAACUGAAUAUUUGUGUUUUCCC